UACGGGGGGAGCAAGCGUUGUUCGGAAUUACUGGGCGUAAAGGGCUCGUAGGCGGCCAACUAAGUCAGACGUGAAAUCCCUCAGCUUAACUGGGGAACUGCGUCUGAUACUGGAUGGCUUGGAUUCGGGAGAGGAAUGCGGAAUUCCAGGUGUAGCGGUGAAAUGCGUAGAUAUCUGGAGGAACACCGGUGGCGAAGGCGGCAUUCUGGACCGAUAUUGACGCUGAGGAGCGAAAGCCAGGGGAGCAAACGGG
This 253-nucleotide ribosomal RNA is filed under the name uncultured bacterium. RNAcentral's name for it is "partial 16S ribosomal RNA". It matches the Rfam family "Bacterial small subunit ribosomal RNA", at positions 524 to 776 of the family's 1533-position model. The record is from RNAcentral.